AGUGAAUAGAUACCCGGGUAGUCCACGCCGUAAACUAUGGAUGCUGGCUGUUACUCGUAUCGACCCGAGUAGUAGCGAAAGCUAACGCGUUAAGCAUCCCGCCUGUGGAGUACGGCCGCAAGGCUAAAACAUAAAGGAAUUGACGGGGACCCGCACAAGCGGUGGAGCGUGUUCUUUAAUUCGAAGGUAAGCGAAGAACCUUACCAGGGUUUGACAUCCUCGGAAUUUCUCCGAAAGGAGAGAGUGCUUUAUUGAACCGAGUGACAGGUGAUGCAUGGCCGUCGUCAGCUCGUGUCGUGAGAUGUUUGGUUAAGUCCAUCAACGAGCGCAACCCUUAUAUUUAGUUGGAUUUUUCUAAAUAGACUGCCCCGGUAACGGGGAGGAAGGAGGGGAUGAUGUCAGGUCAGUAUUUCCCCUUACAUCCUGGGCUAGAAACACGCUACAAUGGCCGGUACAAAGGGCAGCCAAGUCGUGAGACGGAGCAAAUCCCAUCAAAGCCGGUCCCAGUUCGGAUAGCAGGCUGAAAUUCGCCUGCUUGAAGUCGGAAUCGCUAGUAAC
This 558-nucleotide ribosomal RNA is filed under the name uncultured bacterium. Its description in RNAcentral is "bacterial SSU rRNA". It matches the Rfam family "Bacterial small subunit ribosomal RNA", at positions 774 to 1342 of the family's 1533-position model. The record is from RNAcentral.